This is a long non-coding RNA of Hyla sarda, 664 nucleotides long. RefSeq lists it as uncharacterized. The transcript is spliced from 4 exons. Lineage: Eukaryota; Metazoa; Chordata; Amphibia; Anura; Hylidae. The record is from RefSeq and is a predicted model, not a curated record.
CCUUCCCUCUGGGAUAGUAAAGAAAUCCUAACACUCAGUGUAGAGUCUGGCUCUGAUCAGUAAAGAUGCAACAGCUCCUGUGUCCCUCUUCUCUUACCUCACUGAGGAGUUUGUAUUUCCACACUCUGUUCUCAUACCGUAAAUGAGGAUAGGCCCCAAACAACAACACUGUUGAUCCAGAACACGUUGAAGUCUCUGUCAGAUCCAGCUGCCGAGAUAGCACCACAACUCAAGCAGAAUUUUAGGGACAAAUAGCAUAGCUUUUGAUUGAAGAGAUUCCUUGGCACUUUUGUUUAACAAGAAAAAUUACUGAAGUUAAUGAAAAAGAAAAGGGGUUGAACACCUUUCUGACCCAUGAUGUACUGAGACAAAAAAAGCAGUGAUUUCUCCUAUGCUGAAGUCUCAUAUUCAUUAUUAAUGUGUCAGUAACUGUAUCCAACAAGCUUCAUACUAGCAAAUGGCAAAGCAAUGAACACUUAUUCCCUGAGGACUACAGACGUUGGUGCAUUAUGAACAUUACACGAGAAGGAAGAUUGACAAUGGUAUAAUUGUGGGGGAAGAGGAAGAAGGCUUUAUGCACCAUUGCAUUAUCUAACAACCAGUUGGCAAUUACUGUGAACUACAGGGUAACAUCAACACAGCACACAGAGAAAGUGUUAAUUUA